Fukomys damarensis (Damara mole-rat) is the source of this 684-nucleotide long non-coding RNA. RefSeq lists it as uncharacterized. The record is from RefSeq and is a predicted model, not a curated record. Lineage: Eukaryota; Metazoa; Chordata; Mammalia; Rodentia; Bathyergidae. The transcript is spliced from 4 exons.
CAGCCUGGGCAACUCUGCAAGACCUUGUCCCAAAGAAGUACCAUGGUCACCUGUUGGAACUACAGGAUGAACCUGUGGAAGUCUCAUCACCACAAAAUAUCAGCAGCUACUGGCCCGAGGAGUUUAGUGCAAAGACAACACCUGGCAUACGACAAAGCUGGCCCCCUGCAACUGCCACUGUGGGCCACUGCUCAGAGUUAGACAUCAGCCUUCCUCUCACUCUGAUGAAGCCAGCCUGAAACCCUAAACCUCUUUCCCGUCUCAGCAGGCCAGAGGGGCAAGAAUGGGUGAAGAGCCCUGGCCUCCCCUCCGUCACGAGCUGCACACGUACCAGGACACUAUUAACUUGUGCUGGACAGCAAUCCUUCAGCUACCUACAGCUAAUCCCAGCCUGCGCUGAACUGGUCUGCGGUCUCCCAACACUCAGCUUGUGAGACAUGUCUUGCAAAGCUCUCCUCUUCGGCAAUCAUCAUAUCCAGGAGAUCCUACAGGACAGAAAACAGUCUAUAAUUUUGGGCCACAAAGGGAAAAACCACCAUUCUACUUCCUGUCUCUGAAUCUGACUACUCUAGGUACCAGGGCACUAUUGCAUGAAGUGUAAAUGGUUGGAAAGCUUGCUAUACAUUAGCUACAGAGUGGUAUGUGUAGCUUGAAUCAAAAUAUCAUCAUAAUAAUCCUAAGAAC